This 391-nucleotide unclassified non-coding RNA is filed under the name soil metagenome. Its description in RNAcentral is "partial contains 5.8S ribosomal RNA, internal transcribed spacer 2, and large subunit ribosomal RNA". The stretch from base 1 to 122 matches the Rfam family "5.8S ribosomal RNA", at positions 35 to 154 of the family's 154-position model. The record is from RNAcentral.
GAUGAAGAACGUAGCGAAAUGCGAUACUUGGUGUGAAUUGCAGAAUCCCGUGAACCAUCGAGUCUUUGAACGCAAGUUGCGCCCGAAGCCACUAGGCCGAGGGCACGCCUGCCUGGGCGUCACACGCCGUUGCCCCCCCAUCUACUCCUUCGGGAUUGCGGGGGGGCGGAUGAUGGCCUCCUGUGCGCCUAGCCGCGCGGUUGGCAUAAAUACCAAGUCCUCGGCGACGCACGCCACGACAAUCGGUGGUUGCGAAACCUCGGUUGCCCGUCGUGUGCGUUCGUCGCGCAUCGAGGGCUCGAAAAAAUGCUCGGCUCCGGCUGGGAUUUCAACGCGACCCCAGGUCAGGCGGGGUUACCCGCUGAAUUUAAGCAUAUCAAUAAGCGGAGGA